RNAcentral lists this ribosomal RNA (460 nucleotides) under uncultured bacterium. Its description in RNAcentral is "bacterial SSU rRNA". It matches the Rfam family "Bacterial small subunit ribosomal RNA", at positions 339 to 791 of the family's 1533-position model. The record is from RNAcentral.
GUACGGGAGGCAGCAGUGGGGAAUUUUGGACAAUGGGCGCAAGCCUGAUCCAGCAAUGCCGCGUGCAGGAUGAAGGCCUUCGGGUUGUAAACUGCUUUUGUACGGAACGAAAAGGUCUGCCUUAAUACGGUGGGCCCAUGACGGUACCGUAAGAAUAAGCACCGGCUAACUACGUGCCAGCAGCCGCGGUAAUACGUAGGGUGCGAGCGUUAAUCGGAAUUACUGGGCGUAAAGCGUGCGCAGGCGGUUAUAUAAGACAGAUGUGAAAUCCCCGGGCUCAACCUGGGACCUGCAUUUGUGACUGUAUAGCUAGAGUACGGUAGAGGGGGAUGGAAUUCCGCGUGUAGCAGUGAAAUGCGUAGAUAUGCGGAGGAACACCGAUGGCGAAGGCAAUCCCCUGGACCUGUACUGACGCUCAUGCACGAAAGCGUGGGGAGCAAACAGGAUUAGAUACCCCGGU